Molecule: long non-coding RNA, 714 nt
Organism: Oreochromis niloticus (Nile tilapia)
Lineage: Eukaryota; Metazoa; Chordata; Actinopteri; Cichliformes; Cichlidae
Exons: 3
Source: RefSeq, a predicted model, not a curated record
CCAGCACCAGCCAGGAGCGAGGGGAGAGGGAAAGACAGAGGGAGAGAGAAAGGGAGAGAGAGAGGGAGAGAGAGGGGGGGGAAAGAGACUGGGGCAGAGAAAAAGGGACAGAUAGGAAAACGGCAGACCAGGGUUGUAUUUAUUGGGGGUGUGAGUGCCGCGCUGUAGGCUGUGGGAUGGUCGGGAGAGUGCAAGGUGUUGCUGUUAGGUGUGGUUGGGUUUACAGAAAGGGGAAGAGCAUGCAUAGAUAGAAUGGUGGAGUGAGGAAAAAAAAAGAGGGAGAGAUGGAAGGAUUGGUCAUGCGCAAGACCGCAGGCCGUUGGAGGCAGCUUAGAAAUCUCUUACAUCUGGAACAGCCAUAAUUCGUGGGAUUUGGCCUGACAGCCAUGACAGGCACUGGGGCGGCCAGCAACAACUGUCUCCUGUGUUAGCAGCAGUGUGUACGUUAGCUCCGUGAGAGAGAGAGAGAGAGAGAGAGAAAAAGAGACAGAGAAGGAGAGACAAAGAGUGUCAAUAUGCAGAAGCCGUAUGUAGCCUGAGCUGGAAUGGAUGAAAAUAUUUACUGUGUACACACCAUCCACAAAUCCUUUCCCUCUCUUGAUCCCUGGCUUUUAUUGUUUCCCUUCUCUCCCUGCUUUUUACUCCUGUCUUUGAACACGUGCAUGCUCUGACACAGAUACGUGAAGAUAUGUGAAUAAAGGUGUUUCUAACAUA